Long non-coding RNA from Cyprinus carpio carpio, 1449 nucleotides. NCBI's taxonomy places the organism in Eukaryota, Metazoa, Chordata, Actinopteri, Cypriniformes, Cyprinidae. The record is from Ensembl.
AGGUUCACAAUAAAAGACUUUAAAACAACACAAUUAAACCAGGUAGACUCAGUCUGUCAAAAGAACACAAUUAUUUUGUCCAUACCCUAAAAACAGUCCAAGAAUCCUCGUGUGUUGUUGAGUCCCAAUGUGAGUGUCCAGCAGUGAAUAUACACAAUCCAAUCUGAGUGAAAUCCAAGUGGCUGUAAGUGUCCGGAAAGGCAAGUCCAAUAAAAGUAACUCCACAGUUCGGGUGAAAGUGGAAGCUGUUAAUGGCCUCCCUGUUUGUUUGCCAUGCUGCUCUUCUUGUAGUGCUCCUGCUUCCUGUCAGUUGACUGAUCACCUCACAGGCCAACCAUACAGUUCUUAAAGACACACACACACCAAAAUGGUUAAGAGGCAUAAAAUGGACAUAAGAAACAUGAAAACCAAUUAAAACUCUAUAAUACAUAAAAUCAAUGUCAUAAAUAGAGGGGUUAAAACAUGUCCCUUGUGUGACAGUGUCACAACUUUAUUUCUAAGAUCGAUACUAUUAAAGAUAAAAUUGUAACCAUGCAGCCGUCAGCUACAUUAUCGCAUCAGACAGUGCACUAUAGAUCCCCAGAGGAACAGUUCCACUCAUUCUCUACUAUAGGAGAGGAAGAAUUGUAUAAACUUGUUAAAUCAUCUAAACCAACAAAAUGUAUGUUAGACCCUAUUCCAUCUAAGCUCCUAAAAGAGGUGCUUCCAGAAGUCAUAGAUCCUCUUCUCAUUAAAUCAUACUUUGACCGCCAUACAUGACCGCCAUCAAUUCGUAGCAGUGAAUGAAGAGGUAUCAUAUCGAUCACAAGUGCAGUAUGGAGUACCUCAAGGCUCAGUACUAGGGCCGUCACUCUUCACGUUUUACAUGUUACCCAUGGGAGAUAUCAUCAGGAAACACAGUGUUAGCUUUCACUGUUAUGCUGAUGAUACUCAGCUCUAUAUUUCUUCUCGGCCUGGUGAAAUAUACCAAUUUGAAAAACUAACGGAAUGCAUAGUUGAUAUAAAAAAACUGGAUGAUGAGUAAUUUCUUACUGCUUAAUUCAGAAAAAAAUGGAGGUGUUAAUUAUAGGACCUAAAAACUCUGCAUGUAAUAACCUAGAAUGCUAAGACUUGAUGGCUGCUCUGUCAAUUCUUCGUCAUCAGUUAGGAACCUAGGUGUGCUAUUUGAUGGCAAUCUUUCCUUAGAAAGCCACAUUUCUAGCAUUUGUAAAACUGCAAUAUAACUGCAAAAUAUAUCUAAAUUAUGACCUCUCAAUGUCAAAUGCAGAAAUGUUAAUCCAUGCAUUUAUGACCUAAAGGUUAAAUCAUUGUAAUGCUUUAUUGGGUGGUUGUUCUGCACGCUUAAUAAACAAACUCCAGCUAGUCCAAAAUGCAGCAGCUAGAGUUCUUACUAGAACCAGAAAGUAUGACCAUAUUAGCCCAGUUCUGUCAACACUGCACUGGCUUCCU